GACGAACGCUGGCGGCGUGCUUAACACAUGCAAGUCGAACGGAAAGGCCCUGCUUUUGUGGGGUGCUCGAGUGGCGAACGGGUGAGUAACACGUGAGUAACCUGCCCUUGACUUUGGGAUAACUUCAGGAAACUGGGGCUAAUACCGGAUAGGAGCUCCUGCUGCAUGGUGGGGGUUGGAAAGUUUCGGCGGUUGGGGAUGGACUCGCGGCUUAUCAGCUUGUUGGUGGGGUAGUGGCUUACCAAGGCUUUGACGGGUAGCCGGCCUGAGAGGGUGACCGGCCACAUUGGGACUGAGAUAGGGCCCAGACUCCUACGGGAGGCAGCGGUGGGAAAUAUUGCACAAUGGGCGGAAGCCUGAUGCAGCGACGCCGCGUGCGGGAUGACGGCCUUCGGGUUGUAAACAGCUUUCGCCUGUGACGAAGCGUGAGUGACGGUAAUGGGUAAAGAAGCACCGGCUAACUACGUG
RNAcentral lists this ribosomal RNA (468 nucleotides) under uncultured bacterium. Its description in RNAcentral is "partial 16S ribosomal RNA". It matches the Rfam family "Bacterial small subunit ribosomal RNA", at positions 28 to 507 of the family's 1533-position model. The record is from RNAcentral.